UACGUAGGGUGCAAGCGUUACUCGGAAUUACUGGGCGUAAAGCGUGCGCAGGCGGUUUUGUAAGUCUGUUGUGAAAUCCCCGGGCUCAACCUGGGAAUUGCGAUGGAGACUGCAAGGCUAGAAUCUGGCAGAGGGGGGUAGAAUUCCACGUGUAGCAGUGAAAUGCGUAGAGAUGUGGAGGAACACCGAUGGCGAAGGCAGCCCCCUGGGUCAAGAUUGACGCUCAUGCACGAAAGCGUGGGGAGCAAACAGG
RNAcentral lists this ribosomal RNA (253 nucleotides) under uncultured bacterium. RNAcentral describes it as "partial 16S ribosomal RNA". It matches the Rfam family "Bacterial small subunit ribosomal RNA", at positions 524 to 776 of the family's 1533-position model. The record is from RNAcentral.